CCUGUCUCAAUCAUGUACAUCCUUGGCCAGACUUUUCUCACAUCUUCUCUCAAUUAUUUAAAGAACUCCCAGUGGGUCUGCAGAUUUUUAUCCUGACCCAGUCUCUACGUAGCUGCUGGUGGUAGAGAUGUACUCAUGGGAAGUGAAUCAAGAUAGUAAAAAUCCUAACUCUUGAUGUGUAGUAAAUACCUGAGGAAUUGAAAUGCACUGGAUUAGAGAAUCCAAGAUGGUGGAGGAGUGGGAAACCUUCACUUCAUCUGGUACCAGGAAUUCAGAUCAUCCUGAACAUCUGUGAACUCAACCGGAGAUCUAAGAAAAGAAUAGCUGCAACUCUACAAAUAGAAAAGUGACCCCUUUCUGGAAGCUAGAAGAACCCUCUAGCAGUGAGGAGAGAACGGAUGUCGCCGGGCAGCUGUGACGUCAGCUGAAAGGAGGAGCCAAGGUCGCUCGGGCAUCUUAGGAAGACUCUGCCUUAAAGACUGAUAAUUAUGGUGUCCUUUCUGAUCCUGCACAAGAUUCGUCCGAUGUGUCCGAGUGGAUUAGAGUGGAGAGUGGAAGCAGAAAAGGAGCCAAGGACAAGACGCAAGCAAUAAAGAAGAGCAGGACAUGCCAGGACAGGGAGAUUUCCUCCAGCCCCUCUGUUUAUAAGUCCCACCAGUGCCAUUGGGGGGGAUUAAAUGUAAUACGUGUGCAUGCUAUUUGCAGCUUUUGCAUGUAUGAUUUAUACUUAUGGUAACAGUUGAAUAAAUAGUGUAUAUUUCACUUUA
Mustela lutreola (European mink) is the source of this 767-nucleotide long non-coding RNA. RefSeq lists it as uncharacterized. The record is from RefSeq and is a predicted model, not a curated record. NCBI's taxonomy places the organism in Eukaryota, Metazoa, Chordata, Mammalia, Carnivora, Mustelidae. The transcript is spliced from 3 exons.